ACCUCCUUAGCUCAGUGGAUCAGAGCGCUGGCUUACGAAGCCAGAGGUCGCACGUUCAAGUCGUGCAGGAGGUGCCA
This 77-nucleotide transfer RNA is filed under the name Burkholderiales bacterium. RNAcentral's name for it is "tRNA-Arg". It matches the Rfam family "tRNA". Rfam says of the family: Transfer RNA (tRNA) molecules are approximately 80 nucleotides in length. Their secondary structure includes four short double-helical elements and three loops (D, anti-codon, and T loops). The record is from RNAcentral. Lineage: Bacteria; Pseudomonadati; Pseudomonadota; Betaproteobacteria; Burkholderiales.